Molecule: non-coding RNA, 210 nt
Filed under: Alkalihalobacillus alcalophilus
Lineage: Bacteria; Bacillati; Bacillota; Bacilli; Caryophanales; Bacillaceae
Description: Bacillus alcalophilus T-box sequence
Rfam family: T-box leader
About the family: Uncharged tRNA acts as the effector for transcription antitermination of genes in the T-box leader family.
Source: RNAcentral
AUUUGUGUGUUGAAGGGUAAAAGUAGAAGACACUUUUGUAAAAAGUAGAGAACUGAUGGUCGGUGAAAAUCAGUACAAGGUGUGUUUGAAGUACGGACCUGGAGCAUUUCUUGUGAGUAGCAAGAAACGGUUACGCCGUUAUCGAAUCGAGUGGAAGUCUUUUUCGAAAGGCUUCAAUUAGGGUGGUAACGCGAUAACCUCGUCCCUUUG